UACAGAGGUGGCAAGCGUUGUUCGGAAUUACUGGGCGUAAAGGGCGCGUAGGCGGUUCGGUAAGUCCUGUGUGAAAUCCCUCGGCUCAACUGAGGAACUGCACGGGAGACUGCCGGGCUUGAGUUCGGGAGAGGGAAGCGGAAUUCCGGGUGUAGCGGUGAAAUGCGUAGAUAUCCGGAGGAACACCGGUGGCGAAGGCGGCUUCCUGGACCGACACUGACGCUGAGGCGCGAAAGCUAGGGUAGCGAACGGG
RNAcentral lists this ribosomal RNA (253 nucleotides) under uncultured bacterium. Its description in RNAcentral is "partial 16S ribosomal RNA". It matches the Rfam family "Bacterial small subunit ribosomal RNA", at positions 524 to 776 of the family's 1533-position model. The record is from RNAcentral.